RNAcentral lists this ribosomal RNA (164 nucleotides) under Vigna radiata var. sublobata. RNAcentral's name for it is "partial 5.8S ribosomal RNA". It matches the Rfam family "5.8S ribosomal RNA". Rfam says of the family: 5.8S ribosomal RNA (5.8S rRNA) is a component of the large subunit of the eukaryotic ribosome. It is transcribed by RNA polymerase I as part of the 45S precursor that also contains 18S and 28S rRNA. Lineage: Eukaryota; Viridiplantae; Streptophyta; Magnoliopsida; Fabales; Fabaceae. The record is from RNAcentral.
AAAACGACUCUCGGCAACGGAUAUCUCGGCUCUUGCAUCGAUGAAGAACGUAGCGAAAUGCGAUACUUGGUGUGAAUUGCAGAAUCCCGUGAACCAUCGAGUCUUUGAACGCAAGUUGCGUCCAAAGCCAUUAGGCCGAGGGCACGCCUGCCUGGGUGUCACAC